Camelus dromedarius (Arabian camel) is the source of this 439-nucleotide long non-coding RNA. RefSeq lists it as uncharacterized. The transcript is spliced from 4 exons. The record is from RefSeq and is a predicted model, not a curated record. NCBI's taxonomy places the organism in Eukaryota, Metazoa, Chordata, Mammalia, Artiodactyla, Camelidae.
CUGCCGCCAUGUUGGGUCUCGGCGUCGGCGCCGCGGGUCCACAGGAGGAGCCCUGAAGUGCCGCUUUCCUGAGGUGCGCUGUGUGAGGCUUCUGCCCGCCGCGUCCUGUGAGCAGGUGAAGCUAGCCUGGGCACAAAGGGGGAACAAAAGGUGCGCAGUACUCCUCUACUUCUGGUCACAGAAAUCAUCUGCUAAGGUCUCCUGGUUCUCAGGCCCUUCAGGCUCAGAGUGGAAUCUACACCAUUGGCUCUGGCUUUCAAGCCUUCCAACUGUAUCACCAGACUUCCUGGAUCUCCAGUUUGCAAAUGGCAGAUCAGCCUCCAUGACCAUGCAGAAUCAGUGAACAAAGAAGGUUGUAACAAAGAUCUGGAGAAGAAGAAAGACUUGAUCACAGUGGUUUAAAUCAGUCUGCACCCUUGUUGAAGAUCACCCGACUGUC